GCCCUGGUAGCUCAAUUGGUUAGAGCGUCGGACUUUUAUAAGUAUCCUUAUAACUCGUUAUCCGAAGGCUGCGGGUUCGACCCCCGCCUGGGGCG
Xylaria longipes is the source of this 95-nucleotide non-coding RNA. The record is from the annotation of a GenBank genome assembly. Lineage: Eukaryota; Fungi; Ascomycota; Sordariomycetes; Xylariales; Xylariaceae.